RNA transcript from Nomascus leucogenys (northern white-cheeked gibbon), 4836 nucleotides. RefSeq lists it as uncharacterized. The record is from RefSeq and is a predicted model, not a curated record. NCBI's taxonomy places the organism in Eukaryota, Metazoa, Chordata, Mammalia, Primates, Hylobatidae. The transcript has 4 exons.
GCCAUAGCGAGGUCAUGACAUUAAUUUAUCCAAAGUAUUGUGGGCAACUGUCUAGAAAAAUAAAUAGCAUAAAGGACACACAUGCCAGAGAGCUAAAAAAGAAAAAAAAAAGUUGAGUCUGAGCAAAGAGAGAUUAAGAGAUGACCAAUUUAUUUAAUCCACAUAGAACAGGAAGAAGUCAGCAGGUGUCUCAAUGUUAAUGACAAGUAUUUUAAGCUAUGCUGCGCAUGCGUUGAUUUUUGCUUUAGUUUUUCAUUAGAUUCUAAGCUUGUUGAAUACUACUCCUGUUCUUCCAUGUCAGAAACUUAAUUUCAUAUUUUCUUGUUGCUUCAAUGCUUAGGGAUUCUUUGCUAUCUGUUUCUUUCUCUCCUUUUUCAUUCUUCCUUUCCCUCUUCCCAUUUCUGUGCUUCCCUUUCUUCUUCCCUCUGUUAUUAUUUUCCUUCUUGCCUUUCUCUCUCAUGAGAGUAUAUUCUUAAUUCUGUUUCCUUCUGGUGCCAACUUCUUUUUCUAUUUUUGUUGUUGCAUUUGAGAGGUUUCUUUUUCCUUUUGCUUUCAAAUCAGGAGCCUGUAGGAACUGAUCUUAGAGAUACAUACCCUACUACCGAUGCUUCUAUCUCUUUAUAGGUUGUGUGAUGUUUUCUUUGGAACCUCUGCGAAUGGUUGUCCUUCUUGUUUGUUGCCACAGAUCUGUUGCCAAUCUGCUACCUUAGUUGAGCCUGCAGUGCGCACUGCAUGCUGGGAUCUGUCUGUGUGAGUAAACUGAAAUUUCCACAGCACCAGACAGCAUUAGAGUUGGCUUGAGAAUUGCCGUACUUUGCUUCCCUUUGUAUGUAUUUCUUGUAUGCUGCAGAGUCACUGAUGGCUAGCUCUGUCUGGCAAGUAAUUCAGAAAUGCUGUUCAUGUAGAAAGGAAAGGUAGGCACUUUACCACACUCUGUCAUUAAAGGGAGCAAUUGAAGAACAAAGGAACUGAGUAAAUACCUAUAUAUUGCCUUUUGUGUUGUGAAACACUGUAGCACAAACACAUUUGUGUUCAGCCAAAUGUUUUACUUCCUUUUGUAAUAACGCGUAUAGUAGGUUGUCUCCACAUAUGUACAAGAAUCCAUAUUUUAUUUAAACGUAUAUAGUCAAUUGUUCAUCUUUAUAGGCUGCAAACAUGUCUCAGUCUCAAAGACUUUUACAUAUCCACUCCCACACAGCUAUUUGUUAUUAUUUUAAAAGUUCUUAAAUUAAAAAAAAUAAAAUAUACUACUAAUAUCCCUGUUGGUUGAUUUUAUUAAGCAACUUAGGAUUUCAACACAGUUUAAAUCAUAUUGAUGACUCAGAUCCUGGCAGGUCUUACAAUUCCUGUGAAAUGAGAGCACAGCUAAUAAAAAUAUUAAGCAAUUACUUUUAUUAAAAUCAUAGGGUUUUUUUUCAUUAUCACAUAGAAAUGAUUGAUCUAUACAGAUUGGUCUCACUCAUGUGUCUUUUGGGCUGCUUGAGGGCUUCAUAUAGAAGUGGAAAGUCCCCUUUGCUCUUGCUUCGACCAAGGUGGGGAAAAUGAAGGCACAGAAUACAAUCUAGGGCUAUUAAAGAAUUGCUGGCAUUACUUCUCUCUAUCACGUGUGAGCCUGGCUGCCUGCUUCCUGAGGUAGGGGAUCCAGGAUGAGACUGUGCCGGAGCCUGUUUCCACAACUGCAUUUGGAGAUCCGUCUUAUUGAUUGGGGGGGGAAAGGGGUGGGGAUCAGGAGUGUGAGGUGAGGGGAGGACCAUCUGACGACUGGCUCAAUGAAGCACAAGACAUUUUCUUCCGGAAAGAUGUCAAACAACUGAGAAACAGCCAGAGAGGAAGUAGAAAGGUGGAAAAAUGAGGAGACCCUGGAAGAAAUGAAGGCAUUUCCUAUGAGACAGCCUUGGGGCUUUUUUCUUUUCUUUCUUUUUUUUUCCUUCCAUCAUCUGACCUGCAAAGGCUAGAGUGACAGCGUCAUGCAAAUGCUGCAGUCCAGCAGGUCUGGGAGAGGGUGGAUGCUAGACUGUGAGUUAAUGUUAAUGAUGAGCGCAGUGAAAAUACCAGCCGCUGCCACCCCCUGCUCACAGAAGCGCUCUGAGUCAGCAUCAGAUGCUUUGCCUCGCCUCUCGCUGUGUGUCUGUAUGCCUGUGUGCGCGCGCGUGCUCGCUCGGGCAUCCGUGUCUAGCCGAGGGGAGGGGGUGGCGUGUGAGUGCGUGGAGGGUAAAAGCCAGUCAGUCAGUGAGAAGCAAAGAUCAACCACCUCAGAAGAGCCAGAUUCCACUUCUGUGGCCAGGACUUUUAUAUUAUGGCUGGUCCGAUUGUUUUACCCUGCGUUCUAUGCUACUAAACCUUGGAUCAUUCCUAAAGUACAAAUUCUGUUCUCGAACCACAAACAAGGCUAAAAGAUCGGAGGAAAUUCAGUGAAUAUACAGGAUUGGGGUGUCUGAUGAUUUGUGAGCCUCAAGUGACUACUCUCUGGAAUCAUCUGUCCUUGCCUUUGAAUUAGCUUUCCCUAGGCCAUGAGUCAACAUUAGUAGUUUACACAUCCAAAUUGAUGACAGGAGCACCUCAAAGGCAGCAGCCUCAAGGAGCAGCCAUGGCCCCAGAGUUUUCCCACAGAUGCAGAAAACUUAAUGGAGGAGGCUGAGGUCAGAAUGGGAAGAGUUUUUAAAAAGUAAAAAGGGGAGCUAAUAUGUGAGGAACUGAUUGCUGUGCAUUAUUUUCCACUGAACAGACCUUCUUUUAACUUCUAAUCUCAAGCACAUAGCAGCUGUUGUUUUCAUAUUAAAGAUCAGUAAGUGUUUGUUGAAUGAAUGUAUAAAUUCUUUCCCAAUCUCUGUUCCAUGUAAUAAAAACUAAGUUAGCAUUCAAUUAUAAAGAGGACUUAGAAAGACUGCAGGCAUUUUUGAUAAAACAAAAAUCCUUUUAACUGUCUUCUCAUGGUUCCCGGUAACACCUAAGCCCAAAAAACUGAGGUCAUUUCUUGCCUGUACUGUUGCAAUAGCCUCAUAAUAACUAGUCUUCCCCUUUAUAAACCACAGUCGUCUCCACUACACAAAGAAGAGAGGGUGCUAAUCUAAAGUGUAAAUUAUUUUAAAUCAGCACCCUCCUUGUAAUUUCCCAGUGGUUUUUCCUGUCAUAAGAAUAACAUGCAAAAUUCCUUGCUUGCAAAGCCAGGUAUGACCUUGCCCCUGUCUACCUUACUGGCAUCGUCUCUCAUGACUCUCCCCCUUUUUCACUCUCCAUCUUGCCUUUUCCCAACCAUGCCUGCUAGUGAGCCUCAGCCCUUGUCUUCUCUCUGCCAGGGAUGCACGACUGGCUUCUUUACUUUAUUCUGAUCUCUCUGCUCAAAUGUCAUCUUUUUAGAGAUACCUUUCCUAAACAUCUUUAAAAGUACCCCAUUAACUGUGGAACACCUUUCCUGCUUUAAGUUUUCUUCAUAGUACUUAUCACUUCCUGAUAUUAUGUUAGACAACAAGCAAAUAAGUAUAUGCAUAUAUGCUGUUCCCACUAAAAUAUAAGCUCCAUCUGAACAGGAGCCUUGAUUAUUCCUGAGUAUACCCCUAGUGCCCAGAACCUAGUAGGGCUUUAAUAAAUAUUAGAUUCAUUUGUUGAAUGAAAAAAUGAAUGAAUAAUUGAAUAAAGAUAUCCAGGUAGAAUGUCUGGGCAGCCCAACCUAUGUGAAGCCAGUACAAGAAUGUUUCUGUGACAUAAUGAAUGCAAUUAUUCCUCUAAAUGAUGAACUUGAAUGAGUACACGAGGAUAAAAUUAAGCAUGUAGUUUAGAUUUCUGCAAGUCUCUCCCUCAGAUUGAGGAAAAACAAAGAAAUUGAGCUUAUUCUCACCUCAUUCUUACAUGAACUAAAUCCAGAAUAAAGCAUCAUUUAUAUACCAAGCACAUCCCUACCUCAGCCACUCACGGAAUACUUUAUCUGUAAAGGGACAGAUAGUAAAUAUUUUUGGCUUUGGGGACCGUACAGUCUGGGUCGCCACUACUCAGCACUUCUGUUGAGGUGUGGAAUCAGCCCUAGACAACACAUAAACAAAUGGGUGUGGCUGUGUUCCAAUAAAAUGUUAUUUAUAAAACUAGGAAAUCAGCAGAUUUAGCCCACAGGCUGUAGUUUGCUGACCCUUGAAUUAGAGUCUUCCCCAAAUCCUCUUCCCAAGUUAUUGAAAGAAUGCCCACAGGACCAUGGCUCCCUCACCUGGUUCUUUCAAGAAAUGAGACAAAUUCAUGGAUGGUUGGAGGGGGGAACGCCUACCUGUGACAUGACUAUUGAGCCUGAUUUCUUUCCUUUUAUCUCUUUAAAGUGAGUCAGGUCUUAACUUUAAACUAUCUCUAAAGUAGCAAUAACUGGGCCAUGUCAAAUACUCCCAAUGACAAAAUUUCUUCUUGGAGAAUGGAUGAGGGUUGCAUACAGCGGUGUGUUGCUAAGUGUUUAGCGACUGGCUCUCUUACUGAUUUCUGUAGCGUAAAUUCUCCCAUCCUGGCCAUCUGGAACUACCAAUAUGAUGUCACUUAAUGUAGAGUUGGGAAAAGACAGUCUCUUGAAUCAGUAUGAGCUGGUUCCCGCCCACUGCUGAACACAUAUUUAAAAGCUACAAUAGCUCUGCUCACUGCCAUUGCAGAGUCUGGAGGAAAGAGUGGUGGGCUUGAUAGGACCAAUUGGCUGGAUAAUCUUUUGCAAUGCCAAUAAAUAAUGAAAAAGCAUGUAAAUAUAAUGCUGUAUAGAAAGCUCUCAAGUUCAGUGUUUGGUUAAAAUACAUACUCAGUAAAUGGUAGCUAUUAUCGUCUUAGUUUAAGUUAUUGCAAGCACUAAAAUUAAAUGUUCAGCUACAGACUCAA